This 435-nucleotide ribosomal RNA is filed under the name Triticum aestivum (bread wheat). RNAcentral describes it as "partial small subunit ribosomal RNA". The record is from RNAcentral. Lineage: Eukaryota; Viridiplantae; Streptophyta; Magnoliopsida; Poales; Poaceae.
UUCGGUGAUCUGAAUGAUAUCAUGUGUGAUACGGAAACUACUUCUCUCAAUGUGAAUAAGAACCGUAUGCAUGCUGUCAAUAACUAUGUCAAGCAAUGUGGUCUGUUUGAUCUGGGGUUUAGUGGGCCGGCUUAUACUUGGACAAAUAUGCGGUUCUCCUCAAGACCUAUCUUUGAAAGGCUUGAUCGUUGUCUUGCCAAUGCAGAUUGGUGUGUUAUGUUUCCUAAUACUAAUAUUUUUAAUUUACCAAUCAUUCAUUCACUGAGUGAUCAUGCACCUAUUCUGAUAUCCACUGAUUCUCAGUUUCGUAGGCCUAAAGAUUUCCAGGGCAUUGCUAAAAAUGCUUGGGACUCCUCGGUUAAUAGACCAUUCCAUGUCAGAACCAAUAACCUUGCAGGGACUUUGAAAAGGUGGUGCAAAAAGAAAAAACCUUUA